Molecule: ribosomal RNA, 465 nt
Filed under: Vreelandella stevensii
Lineage: Bacteria; Pseudomonadati; Pseudomonadota; Gammaproteobacteria; Oceanospirillales; Halomonadaceae
Description: partial 16S ribosomal RNA
Rfam family: Bacterial small subunit ribosomal RNA
Source: RNAcentral
CCUACGGGCGGCUGCAGUGGGGAAUAUUGGACAAUGGGGGCAACCCUGAUCCAGCCAUGCCGCGUGUGUGAAGAAGGCCCUCGGGUUGUAAAGCACUUUCAGUGAGGAAGAACGCCUGGUGGUUAAUACCCAUCAGGAAAGACAUCACUCACAGAAGAAGCACCGGCUAACUCCGUGCCAGCAGCCGCGGUAAUACGGAGGGUGCGAGCGUUAAUCGGAAUUACUGGGCGUAAAGCGCGCGUAGGUGGCUUGAUAAGCCGGUUGUGAAAGCCCCGGGCUCAACCUGGGAACGGCAUCCGGAACUGUCAAGCUAGAGUGCAGGAGAGGAAGGUAGAAUUCCCGGUGUAGCGGUGAAAUGCGUAGAGAUCGGGAGGAAUACCAGUGGCGAAGGCGGCCUUCUGGAAUGACACUGACACUGAGGUGCGAAAGCGUGGGUAGCAAACAGGAUUAGAUACCCCUGUAGUC